UACGUAGGGUGCAAGCGUUAAUCGGAAUUACUGGGCGUAAAGCGUGCGCAGGCGGUUGUGCAAGACCGAUGUGAAAUCCCCGGGCUUAACCUGGGAAUGGCAUUGGUGACUGCACGGCUAGAGUGUGUCAGAGGGGGGUAGAACUCCACGUGUAGCAGUGAAAUGCGUAGAGAUGUGGAGGAAUACCGAUGGCGAAGGCAGCCCCCUGGGAUAACACUGACGCUCAUGCACGAAAGCGUGGGGAGCAAACAGG
This 253-nucleotide ribosomal RNA is filed under the name uncultured bacterium. RNAcentral describes it as "partial 16S ribosomal RNA". It matches the Rfam family "Bacterial small subunit ribosomal RNA", at positions 524 to 776 of the family's 1533-position model. The record is from RNAcentral.